GGUUCGUUGGUCUAGCGGUAUGAUUCUCGCUUAGGGUCUCAACCCUGAGUUACAAAAUGCGAGAGGUCCCGGGUUCAAUCCCCGGACGAACCC
RNAcentral lists this transfer RNA (93 nucleotides) under Immersiella caudata. Its description in RNAcentral is "Cercophora caudata tRNA-Pro". The record is from RNAcentral. Lineage: Eukaryota; Fungi; Ascomycota; Sordariomycetes; Sordariales; Lasiosphaeriaceae.